This 208-nucleotide ribosomal RNA is filed under the name uncultured bacterium. Its description in RNAcentral is "partial 16S ribosomal RNA". It matches the Rfam family "Bacterial small subunit ribosomal RNA", at positions 524 to 728 of the family's 1533-position model. The record is from RNAcentral.
UACGUAGGGUGCAAGCGUUGUCCGGAAUUAUUGGGCGUAAAGAGCUCGUAGGCGGUUUGUCGCGUCUGCUGUGAAAACCCGAGGCUCAACCUCGGGCCUGCAGUGGGUACGGGCAGACUAGAGUCCGGAAGAGGAGAGUGGAAUUCCUGGUGUAGCGGUGAAAUGCGCAGACGUAUCGAGGAAGAACACCCGUGGCUAAGGCGGCUCU